GACGAACGCUGGAGGCGCGCCUAACACAUGCAAGUCGAACGGACGAGAAGGAGCUUGCUCCUUCGAGUUAGUGGCGGACGGGUGAGUAACACGUGAGCAAUCUGCCCUUAGGAGGGGGAUAAACGCUGGAAACGGCGCCUAAUACCCCAUACUAUCGCUAUGCUGCAUGGCAUGGCGAUGAAAACUCCGGUGGUGGCGGAUGGGCAUGCGGCGCAUUAGCUAGUUGGAGGGGUAACGGCCCACCAAGGCGACGAUGCGUAGGGGUUCUGAGAGGAUGAACGGCCACAUUGGGACUGAGACACGGCCCAAACUCCUACGGGAGGCAGCAGUGGGGAAUAUUGGGCAAUGGGCGAAAGCCUGACCCAGCAACGCCGCGUGAAGGAAGAAGGUCUUCGGAUCGUAAACUUCUGUCCUAAGUGAAGAGAAGAAGACGGUAGCUUAGGAGGAAGCCCCGGCUAACUACGUG
This 466-nucleotide ribosomal RNA is filed under the name uncultured bacterium. RNAcentral describes it as "bacterial SSU rRNA". It matches the Rfam family "Bacterial small subunit ribosomal RNA", at positions 28 to 507 of the family's 1533-position model. The record is from RNAcentral.